CCCACCCCGUGGUCCAGGUAGCAGAUACAUCUGGUUGGGCUGAUCUGUCACCUCUUGAAGUCAAUACCUCCAGGUACCACGAGGCCACUCUGUGAUGCAGAGGAGUUGGUUCCACCUUCCUCUUCUCCUUGCUUUCUCACAGCCUCCUCCCUGAAUGAGGCAGGUGGGAUCUGGGCUUAUUGUCUCCAUCUGUUCAUCAGCCCAGCACCACUUCUAGACUCAUCCCUCCCAUACCAAGCCCCACCGUUUGUCCUCUGGGAUGUGGUGCCUUCAAGCUGCCCUAGUGCAACCAUAGGUCAGGGGACAGAUCCCAUGCAGGUCUGCGAACUUUCUUAACUCAGAGCAGGUAAGGGAGCCCACUGGACAUUUUGCUGCCGUCAGCUUCCUCUCUGUUGGGAAAUUGGAUGGGUGUUUUGCCAGAAAGUUACAAGGAAAAUGGUUUUCCCUUCCCCAAAACUAGGAGAGUGCCAUGCUCGCUGGCAGGUCCUGCUAGGCAGCUGGGAAGCCAGUAAAGAGAAAAACUUUAUGCCCCAUCCAUCCUUCCCACCCCAAAGGAAAUAGUCCUGUGCAUUUUCUUAUGCUGGCACAUCAUGAAAACCAAUGCUGUCAUGUUUUCUAGUUGCAUAUUGGGACUUGGACUUUCCACCAUGAAGACACCAGCGCUGUCCUUGUCACCGGCUCCUGGUGCUGUGAACAUGCUGAAUAUGGCUGAUGUCCCCAUCGCUAGGGUGGGCAUGGGGGUAUCCACAUUAUAUAGCCCUACAGAAAACACAUGCUCUCUUCAGUGAAAACAAGAAAUGAGUUUCACUGAGGAGUUCUGCAGACUCUGUCAGCUCAUCACAGGUCUUUUCAGUGCUGCUAUGUUUGCUUUAUUUUGGGUGGCAGAGCUAAUGACCCCUUAAAUGAUCAUUUACCACUGCCUUAAUUGAAAAAAAAAGAAGUCUUUUCAAAAACCUGAGUGCCCCUGUGUGAAGCAACAACCUGGCUUUCCCUCUGCCCCCCCUGCCCUGUCCUUCCAGAUUACAUACACCAGGCUCAAUGUUUGUUUUCUACCCUUGGGAUUUAAUUGCAGAGUGUGUUAAGCACGCUGAAAAAAGAACCCUCGCUCAGUGUCCAUCUGCUUAGCUCAGGUCAGCAGGGCUUGUAAUUGAGAUGGACUUUGAAUGCCCUUAGUGCUGCAGGUAUCUUUGGACUCUCUUCCAAGAAUAGAAGGAGAAAGCUUGGUCUCUCUGUGCUAAUACAAAAUCAAAACGGUUUGCUGAAAAACCCAGAGAGGCUUCCAGACAGAAGUUUUCAGAAGGCUCAUGCUGAAAAUAUGACUGUUUCGGCCAGUGUUUUUCUGCACACUGCAGUGGCCAGGAACUAUGUCCCCACUGAGGCUGCAGGACUGAACACCAGUAAAGUGUGUGCUAUGGGUGUUGGAUGGAGCUGUGUAUGUUUCUACACUCACGUUUUAAGGUCCUUUUCCCUUUCCUCCUCCCUACACAAGAGACAAGGCCAGGCUGCCUGGGGAGACCGCCUUUGUCAACUCACAGUCAAAUGAAAACCCCCUGCACUGAGAUUAGGAGGGACUUUCUGGUUAAAGGAACCUUUAGACAAGGUUCUAUGAGCCUCCUGCUCCUGUCCUGACAGUCACCCCAGCUCAAAUCCCAGUCCUGCAGUGUACAACCAUGACUGGGGCAGCUUGUGACUCCUCUUGGCCUUGGAGCUCAGAGGCCAUAAGGGCAAAAUGUAAGGAUGGAGUUCCAGAGGCAACCUCACCUUGUGUGGUGGCCUUGGGGAACAUAAGGUGAACAUAAGCAUAAGUGCUUGAUGAACAAAGCUGCUGGAGCAUCCUCAUGCCAUGUGUCUGUCAAGGAGCAGCAUCAUGGUGCAGUGCCUUGGCGUGUUGGGGAAUGGAGUCAAGACCUGUUGGCCACCAGAAAGGGGACAAACAAAAGGCUACAAAAAUGAGUAGGGGCCUAGAGCACCUUUCUUAUGAGGAGAUACUGAGAGAGCUGGAUCUGUUCAGCCUGGAGAAGAGAAGCUGAGAGGGGGUCUCAUCAAUGUUUAUAAAUAUCACAAGGGUGGGUGUCAAGAGGAUAGACCAGACUCCUUUCAGUGGUGCCCAGCGAUAGGAUAGGAUGGGGGGCAAUGGGCACAGAUUGAAACGUAAGAGGAUACAUCUGAAUAUGAGGAAAAACUUUACUUUGAGAGUACCCGAGCCCUGGAACAGGCUGCCCAGAGAUGUUGUGGAGUCUCCUUCUCUGGAGACAUUCAAACCCGCCUGGACACAUUCCUGUGCAAUCUACUCUAGGUGUACCUGCUUCAGCAGGUGGGUUGGACUAGAUGGUCUCCAGAGGUCCCUUACAACCCUGGCCAUUCUGUGAUUCUGACAUGAAGUGUGUUGCUGCUGCCUGGGGAGCUGCCUUGGAAAGCCGUGGGGUAUGUGUGUGUGGGGAGACAAAAAAAAAAAAGUCAAAAAUAAUAGCAUAAUUGGCUUGCUGGCAGGCAGAGAGGCUGUGAUUAUACUUGUCACUCUCUGCUAACCUCCAAAACAGGUGUUGUGGGUUUGAAGUGCCAAAAUGCUGCUCAGGCUGCAAUCUGUGUGUGUGCAGACUAGGGCAACAGGAGCAGGGGCUGGGGAAGGGCCAGGGGAGUCCUUGCCAAAUGGGCAUGGGCACAGAAAAGGGACAGUCCUGGGAAAGCAGUGUGUGUGACGCGAAUGGACUUGGCCGGGUGUGAAAGGGGGAGCAGCUCCCGGCGGUGCUGGGACCCAGCAGGACAUGUCCUCGGCUGAUGGCAGACGGUGCUCCAGUGAGGAGCCCGGGGAAGGGACUCCUUUUGUAGGCUAAUUUAACUGCUGAAGGGUUUGGUCCAGGUUUAUUAAAGGUCUCAGGUUACUGAAAUCCAACUGGAGUAACUUCAACUCCUGCCAAGAUCCUGAAUUUUUACUUGAUUUUAGGAAUUAGGACUAUAAUGCUUUGUUGCACUCUUGGUCCGGCUCAGUGCCUUUCAUAUAUUUAGGGGAGUUUUUACAUUAUCAAACAUUGCGACGACAAGUGUCUUGGGAUCUUGCAAGGCUGAAUUGUUAAAUGAAAGAGAAGCAAGCUUCAAAACAGAUAAUGAAUUUCUUCUAACUCGUCUGGAGACUGAGAGCCAUAAUUCUGAUUGAUCAGAUAUGGCCUGCUUUGGAGAGGCACCAGAUGUGAUCCAGAUUUUAAAUAGAUGCUGCUACUGUCAAAAUGCAUUUGCUCCCUCCUGGUAUAACAAAAUGAGGAAAUUAAAGCACGGGAAGGUUAAAAGCUAAUGUUUUCCAGCUUGAACAACUGGAGCCUGAGAAAUCAAGGGCACUGGGAGUGAAGUGGAGAGCACACACAUGCGGCAGCCUCGCCAGCAGCCAGACCCAGAGGAUCCAAUCCCAUCCUUGCCUUUUUCUCUUGGCACACUGAUUUCUUUCUGCUGGUUUUCAUCUGGCAUGCCUGGAUAUUUCAAAUACACGCUAAACACUAAAGGGGUUAUUCUGCAGUAAAUGUGGCUAGUUUUGGUACAGUUGAGACUUGGAAAGCAAAACUAUUCUAAGAGAGGGAAACCCUUAAGUCUUCUCUCUUAGUUUGUGAAACCAACAGAAUAAUAUUAAUUCAUUUUUUCCCCCCUGCUAUUGAACAGUAAAAAGCCCGGGAUACCCUGGGAAAACAUUUUCUUAAUGGUUUUCUUAAGGCUGAAUGCCCUACUAGCAGUAAGAAAGACAAAGCAGUAAGAUCUAAGGCCUCUUAGUCCCUAGAAAACUGCAGAGGUUUUUAUGCCGGAAAAAUGAGGGAUUUAUUCCUUUUUUUUCGGUCAAAUGAGUUCAGGGUCAAUGUACAAUUUCUCUUUUUGUUUCUAUUCCAAUGGCCACUUAUUUUGGGGCAUUUUAUUCCCUCAAACUCUGUCUGACUCUGAUCAAACUCUCUCUUUGUUGCUCAAGGGGCUUUGCCGUGUCUGUAGCCACGUACCCACAACUCACAUGAAAUCCAGAAUACUGAUGGACACCAACAGAUUUGCCAGUGAAAACCUGCUCACAUCCUAGCCAAAAUCAUAUAUGCUGUGGUAUAUUUUUACAGUUUCCCCACCUCUGCCCGUGACUCCAUCCCUUGCUCUCCCUCAUUUCCUCCAGCACCGCUGCUCUGGGAUCCCCUCUCAGCUUUUCUCCUCACUGCAUUUCCCCUUGUCCCCAGCCCUUAAUCCACUGUUCCCACCUCUGGUCCAGUGACUGAGAGCAGGUGGAAAGGCAGAUGACAGUAUAAAUAUUUAUGUCAGGAAGGCUGCACCUGGAAGUGUUUCCUGCUAAAGCUGUCACCCUAAAAAAAAAACAAAUUAAAAAAUCCUAUCCAUCCCAAAAUGCAAUCCGCGGAGGUGUCUUUCAUUGGCACGGCCACCAGAGCAAUAUGUAUAAUUAUUAGUAAACCCUGGGUGUAUGAAAUUAAACAGACCUGAAGUUGCCAGGAUCAGAUUAUUGAUAUAUUUCUAAAGGACAGUUACAAUGGGAAGCCAGAUGACUACACGAGUAAAGCAACCAUUUAAGUAUAUAACACAUCUUGUCAGUUUGAUAUGUUGGUUUCUGACUCUGGUCAAGUGUAAAUGGGAAAACUCCCACUGAAGUUUCUAUUUUUUUACCUAAUAUACUGACUUCCAUGUUAGUCUUGCACCAGCCAGUACAGCAUCCAGGUGCCAGUGAAUAUCUUAUGGACACAGAAUUAAGCAAAUAAAACAAUUUGCAAGCGGCUCUAAUAAGCACCAUCCCAGUGCAUGCCUGGAAAUUCUUUAAGAUUCAUUAAGCAGUCAGCAAAUAAGACACAUUUGUCUCCCAUUGAAGAGUAAAUUGGAAAUACUGAAAUGAAACCUAUGCAUGGCUAUGAUUUGUCAGAGAGCAUAUUAGCAGGAACAGCCACAGUAUGUUUAGCAGUUGGAUAUGAGUUAAAGCAGGAACUGGAGUGAGAGGAACUAUUUUAAGUCAUACUCUGAAAGUACAUUUAAAAGCAUCUGCAGUUACAGCCAUCUUUGACUCUUCCAGGAGGAAGUUGCCAUUUGUUGCAGAGCUGCUGUUGCUUUAGUUUGACACUCAAUAUGUGUUUUCCCCACAGUAUUAGAUAUCUUGGGCUCUAUCCAGGACACAUUUGGAAAUGAACUGAUCCCUAUAGUUCCUAUGCAACGAUGAGAUUUACUACUUAGGCCGACACGUAUCUUUGUGGUUUCUAGGGUCACUUUUGGUGAGGUUACAUGAAGUGGGGCCGGAGCCCACUGUCACUCAGUUGUUGUUUCAGCCUGACUAUGGCAGAGCACUGCAGGGACCUCAGCGUGGGAACUGCGAUGUUGAGCAUCAUGGAGGGAACAGGUUCGCUCAGCAUGGCCAGAGACGAGGAGAUGCAGCUCUGCUCACAGGCAGUAAGCACCUGAACCAGGCCACAUCACUCAUGGUAGAAGAUCCAGCUUUACCCACUGCGGAUAGCCAGAGGGUAGGAUAAGGAUAGGAGAGUCCCAGAAGAAUAAUUUUGAAAAGGAGAAUGAGGUCGCAUUACUGAGGAUGAGAUCAAGGAAUAAAAUAAGCAUGUAGGGCAGAAAGGUUGCUGUGCUAAAUGAAUUACAACCACUGAGGAGUGAGUGUUAGGAAACAAGGAGAAAGGUGCUAUAAAUACAGUAAAGUAAAAGAAAGACAGCAGCAAGCAGAAGCCCAUUACCUAAUUGGGAACAGGAGAGGCACAGAUGACCUAGAGAAGGCCAACAUAUUUAAUGCCUUUUUGCUUCAGUUUUCUACACCAAAAACGUGCUUCACUGUGAUAUAAAGAUGGCAAGACACAAGAGAGAAGAGGAAAAGAACGUGGUAAAACUGAAUUUAUUCACUAGAGGGUACAAAGGUAAGCAGGCAGCUUUGGCAUACAAACAGAAUGUCUGUCCUCAAAGGAGUAAAAAAUGUGAACCUGGGGUUAUAUACAGCAGUCAGCACCAACACUUACCCAGAUAGGCGUUGGAAUAAAAAGUAAUCAAACUGUACACACCUAGAGAUGUAUGCUGUUAUACGAAACAGCCAGUUGGAUUGACUGAGGAGCAAAUAUUGUCCAGCUGAUCUUGCAUGUGUCUGUGAGAGGGCAGGUGGCUCAGAGAGGCAGACAACGCAGCUGCACAUCUCAGUGUGUAUGGGUCCAGGUGUAGUAAGGCUUUUGGUGCAAUGCCAUCCCUGAGAAAUGUUUGUUUGAAGCAGGUCUGGAUGGGAACCGAGGGCACCUGAGCUUAUCCAGUGGCUUUGUCACAGCUUCUCACAUGGCUUUGGGUAAAUGGAGCAACCAUCUUGCUCUUUGUCGGAAAAGUGGAAUAGUUAGCAUCCCAUAUUAUAUCAGGGAACAAAGAGAUUUUUUCUGCUUUGACUAAACUGGGUCUGUUUUGUGUCUGCAAACAGGACCACCACUGGAUUUUUAGAUGCCUCCAAGAGCAAUUAAUAAGGAGGGGUGUCCCCACGAGGAAAUUGCUAGAUACACUCACAUGAAGGAUCUCCUUGUGGAGUGCUUUCAGUCUGCUACUGUGAGCUGUAUAAGGGAGAAGAAGGAGAUGGGUCAAUUAGAUUUAUUUUGCUUUUAUGCAUGGUAGGUGUUUCAAAACACUGAAAAAGUAAAAGAAGGCUGAAAGGCAUGGAUAGCUUGGUGAGAGGUGAUUUUGCUGGUAUAAUUGAGUGAGAAGAAGCAAGGGAGAGGGAGACCUUUCCUUUGAAGACAAAGGAAAAGGAGAUCAUUUUUAGGAUUUCCACUUCCUAGCACUUCUUCCAUCAGUACCUACUGAUCCUACAACCAGCCUUCUAUUUGUAGGUUAAAAAAAGUUCAGAAAUUCUCAGGUUUUUUUUCGAAGGGCAGAGCGUUGUUUGGGGAUUAUGCAACAGGAGGUACACACCACAGAAAGACAAGAACCUGCACAUUCAACCCUGCACAGGAUUAACAUGCACAUGACAGCACAUAUGAGUUUCAUGCAUUGCAAAAGCUUUGGUGUACUGAUCAGAACCUGAUAUAUUCAGCUUAUGGGCUGGUGUUACUCUUCUAUUUAUGUGGUCUAAGAAAAGGAAAAGAGAGAGGCAAGCCUUCAGGGGCAGUGACCCUUUCUUUAUGCAAACCUGAACAGAAGGAGGGGCUUUACUUCCAAUAACUCAUAUUUUCUUUCUUCUUGCCACACAAUGAGAGCUCUGAAAGAAAAGGUCCUUGGAACUAACAAGGCUGAUCAUCAAGGAAACCUCUGUGCCUUCUGAAUCCUUGGGCUGUGGAAAAGAUUUAGUGCUAUACUGAACCAACCUUCAGAAGCAGAAGUUACGAAAGCUCAAUUUAAUGGUUGAUUUUAAAACUGGCUCUGCACAGAUAUUUUCUGCUCUUCCCUGAAACAACACAGCAUGGACCUAUGUAUGCAUUCAUCUCCCAAAGAGCCAAAUAAUGCCCAGUAUUUCACAUAUGAUUGCAGCAGAUGCCUUCAGCAGUCAAUAGUGGGCCCAAGGUUAAUGUUUGACAUUGAGGUGGGAGGAGAAAUACAAUGGCGUUAAAUUAUGGUCAUUAUAAUGGUAGGUUAAAACCAGUGUUGCUGCAGAGAGGUCCUGGUGGGAAUUGUCUUCUUAGAGGGUGUUAAGUAGAACAGCCUGCUGGAAAGGACAGCAUGAAGAAAUAUAAAUAACUGCACACAGGAGGACAGGAUGUGCUUCAGAGGAAAGAGCAGUGCAAGGGUAGGGCUGUGCUUUGAAUAAUGUUAAUCUGAUGGUUUUAUGCCUGCUUGUUUUUCACACAUGUAACAUGGUGGCAAGAGCAAGGAAAAAGGCUGUUGGGAGAACUGCUGGUCCCAGCCUUCAAACCUCUGGGUGACAGUAGCUAUGCUGUGGCACUGACUUAGUUAAUGCUGUCUGGAAAAAUACAUAAAGACACUCAAAAAUAGAUAAAAGUACUCACAUGAUGCUGUGUUUUAACCAUCAAAUUCAGUUCUUCCUAUGGUCCUUUCUCAGCACACUGGCUGCCCUCAUGAUGCUCUUGAAUGUGUCUACCAAAAGUGUAGCUCCAGCAUUGCAGAGUUAUCUCCUUGGACACUGGUGGAAAUGCUAGCAGGAGCCAAAGUAGACUGCCUUAGGAAGAAUGUCAUUGAGAAUGGCUUUAGUAAGUUUUCUUGAUUCUUGUGUUUCUGUUGCCAGCCUGAUUUCUUGCUGCCCAGGUGUACCACUGCGGUUUGAACUGCAUAGCUGGGCACUUGGUGUAUCUGAAAAUAGCAACCUGAAAAUCUACUGCCUUGUGCUCUGCUAUAGGAGUGCAAAUCACAAAAGGAGCAGGCCCAUAGCCUCUGCCUUGCACAAGAGUGCUGACAAAUGCAAGAGACAGUUAAUAUAAAAUGCAUGAUGCAGUUGCUGAUUUUGUUGCAAACCCAGGAAAGACAUCACUGACAUCCCUGGAGAGUCAAAAGAAUAAAACUGAUGUGAGAAGAUAAUAAGUUUUGUCAGUUGUACUAGUUUUUCUAGUUGUACUUAUUGUUUUUAAUUUUUAAAUUUGGCCUCUGCUAAGACCCUGACUCCUGUUGAUCCAGCUGGAAGAGGCAAGGUGAAGUUGGUUGACAUCAAGCUACUGCAGUGUCCAUCCUCACUGGCAAUGGGCAAUACACCACCACAGGUAGGCUGGGAUGCCAAGUAUGUGCCAAGAUGUACCAAAAAGAUGUAGCAUUGGGAUUAGCACGGCAGGGAGGUGCCCAGGACACUAUGUGUUAGCCACACUAACACUCUGGUGUUAGCCAGGCUUGGUGGUGACCCACUGUUCCAGAGCUGAUGUACCCCGGAUAUUCUCUUCCUCUUCUGCUGGACCAUAUUUCACAAGUCUCAUCUUCCACCUUCCAUGCAACAUCUCUGACUCUGUCCCAUGGAGAGAAAGGAUGGAGCUGACCUCAAGUAGAAGCCAUUACUGAGCACACUGAUGUCUGGUGACCACUGACCCCAAAGGCCAAGGGCAGGAGCUGAGUUUCACAUCCUUUGGGAUCCUCUUAACAGCAGAGCUGCUAUGCUGAUGCUCACACAGAGAAGAAGAAAAGCAGGGGUCAUCAGUACUGUGUGUAGAUAGAUACUAAUGACAUUAGAUGGGCACUGAGCAACAGAUUUGGUGGAGGCUGCAAUAACACACACCUCCCCGGAAAGGUCAGUGGUCCAUGGGGCUUGACCCCACAUUCCUUGUGCAUCCUCGACCCCCACUGAGGCCAAUCAGACCUAUUCUGUGGCACCAUUAACUUAGAAGAUUUAUGUUCUUCAGGCAGUGGGAGGAGAACUUGAUCUAAUUUCCAGCAUAGUUUUUUGCUUUCCUACCCUCACUCAUGUUAAUGAUAACAGACGUGAAUUCAGCUCAAGUAGCCAGGGAAACAGCUGAAGUUUGACUCUGUUCCCAAGCAGAUGUGAACAACUGGCUUAUUAUUUAACUAAGUUGUUGACAACUAAUGGUCUAAUUGGGGGAGCAAUUGAUUUUGGAAAACAUUUUAAAAGUGCAAACGCAGCUCAACAAUUUAUAACCCAAGUGAUGGUUUAUUGCUUUGACAGAGUUAAGUGGAUUGGUUGGUCAUGAACUUUCAUUGGUUUCUUGUUACCACGAACCACAUUUGAUGCUUUGUAUUUAUCACUUUCUGAAAAUGUGAGUUUUCUUUAAAAAAGAAAGCCCCUACAGUCCUGGAUGUCAUAAAGAAAGGUGUCCUGUAGCAUGCACAUGAAGUUUAGCUUCAGAAAAUGAUGAUUCUCAUCACACCUGGCCUAUUUUUGGAUAAUGUUUAGUUGUUAUGCAGUUUAUUGAGCUGAGCACACUUCAUUCCUCCCACAGCAGGAACAGGACGUGUUUAGCACUGGAUGAGCAUGAGCCCGCACUUUUAAUCCAGAAACUGUUUGGAGAGUUUUGAAAGGCAUGAAACAAGGGUGUGAGCGUGAGAACUGACUGUCAUGUGAGAGUUGCAGCAAGAGGCAUCCUGGGGCAACCUGUGGUCUAAAUCCCCUUUCCUGAACCCAGACUGAUCCGAAGGCAUCCCUUCUUUCAGCUGACUUCCAAUUAAGCCCUUUAUUUUAGAAUAGGUGGGAUUUUCAGCACCACUAAGAAGAGCUAAAGGAGAAAUCAUCUCUGUGGCGAAAGACAAGUCACCCAACUUUGCUACCUGAGCUCUUCCCUUCUGCAAAACAAGGACAAUAAAAUCCAGCUGCUUCAACAUGUUGUGAGGAUUAAUGGAUUAAACAGGCCUGAUCUUGCAUGAAUUGAAGGUUACCAGUUGCCAACUGUGUUGAACAUGGCAACCCUACGUGCUGGUAAAUAUCCAGUCAUUAAUACUUAAUUAUUGUUCUGGAUAGUCAGGUUCUUCUAAGUAUCUACCAGGAUUCACCCUGCAGUCCAUGGGACUGGGCACAAAAAAGGGCAAAUGUAGUCCACCCUUUCUGCCGUGUGAAAACAGUCAGCACUUCAAACAUUUGGUUGCAUGAAUCAUCUUCACCACCCUACACCAGCAGUAAGGUCUCUGGCAAAGGACAUUGUUGAGGUCCAUGUCUGGGCAGGUGGCCGGGUCCUUCCUCAGUGGCUCUCGACACAACUGCAAAAUAAUCAUCUACCCAGAGCAACCUGCGUGACUCCCCGUGGGAUGCAGGCAGGGAGGAAAGGCAGGUGGACCAGCACAAGGCAGCGAGGUUGUGGGCUGCUCGCACACCGUGAAAUUUAACACCCUGAAACCCGAAGAAACAACAUGAGGAGAAACGAGGUAGGCUAUGAAUGAACUGACUCAGAGCCGUCGUGAUCUUUGGUCAUGGUGAAUGAAGCGAAAGAAAUGCUGUGAAAUCUGUACCUCUGUGCAAUACCUUUCUGGCUAAUCCUGCUCCAGCAGUGACUCCAGAAAGCUGAUUUCCUGGGAGCUUUAGCUCAUGUCACAGUCAGAUCUGGUACCUGAUACAGAGCCCAAGACAGAAGCGUGCACACCUAGCAGACCAAGGGAUUAUCCAAACACUAAAUCGCAUCAGACAGAAAAUGGCAGGGCAACUGUUUUGGGGGUCAUUUGUAUAACUUUUCUAAUGUGUAUUUUUUGGUGGGUUUUUUGGUGUAUUUUAAUUUUAAAGUGCUUGGCAUCGUUGAGACGGGAUGUUUUGGAUUAACAAUUAUACAACUCAAGUGCAAAAGCGAAAGGGCCUGCUAAACUAAGUGAGGGCUUUACUUUGAACUUUCUUGGAAAAAGAGCCACGUCUAUAGGGUCUAAGGAUAUAGUCCUGCAAUACUGGUUUAUUGUGGAGAGUGCACAAGAAGAAACAAUAAAAUCAAUGAGGCUUUACAGAGAUCUUGGCAAAUCGUGUAUUAUCUUGUUUUAAAAUGCACUUCUCUGGGGCAAAAAGAGAACAUUUACAAAACAGUGGGUCUUUUUCUAAUUUGGAUAUGAAGCAUAAUCCUAGUUAUCCUUGUGUUCAGAAAGACAGAGGAGAACUGGCACAAAGAAAGGCAAAAAGGAUGGAGAAGAAUGCAAACAACUUUGGUGCACAGACUGUGACCCUUCAGCUUAGAAGUGAGGUGGCUGAAAGCAGUGCAGUGGAGACACAUAAAAUUCUGAGCGUUGUGGAGAAGGCAGAUACAACCCAAAAAGUCAAGGACACCCAGUCAAACUAUGAGGUUUAAAAAUAAAUUAUACCAACGCACUAUUUUUCCAGCCAGUGGAAUUGUGGAACACAUUGCUAGAGAUGAUGUGGAGGCCGAAAUCCUAAAUUAGUUCAAAAAGGCAUUUUCAAGGAGGAAGAGUCCAUGAAGAGUUAUUAAAUGUUCUUCCUGCUUGGUAAAUCCCUGGAUGACUGCACUUUGAGAGGGUACAUCAUGGAAAUAAUUGACCUACAUGUGCCGUGUUUCCUUUCGCUAUGGCAUUGAUACUGGCGAAGAAGGACUAGGUGGGGUAUUGCCCUGACUUGGGGUGGUCUCUUUUGGUCUUACACCACAUUUUUGCCCAGAAAUGUCUGUUCAGAAUGAGAAAUGAAUGAUUGUAUGUAUUUUAAUCUUAACAUACAGUGUCCUAAUAGUAAGUUUUAACUGCCUUAGACCAGCUUUUACUUUACCCAGACAUUCAGGAUUGGUUUCACAUCUUAAGCAGAAGCAGGGCUCCCAUUAGUGGUGCCCUUAUUUGCCUCCUAAAAAGAAUGCAAAAUUAAGAUCCCUUUUCCAUUAUGCCCUCUAGAAAUAUGAACAAUUUAUUCUUUAAAAGAACUAAAUGUGGUUGUCAGUGCAUCUUUGAGCUAUGACCUAUAGUUAUCUGUGUUAUCUGUGUUGCUCCAUCUUGCCACGGUCUCCUUGCGUUUCUGGGUCAGGGAGCCCAACUCCAAACACAUGCCCACUUCUUUUCCCAAAGAUCUGAAGCUUUUCAUGAGUAGGACAGAUCUUAGUCUUGUGCAACUGGCAGAGACCCACUGCCUGCAGGAAAGCUACAGUGCUUUGUAAAGUAUUGCUGAAUACUUACAUUCACGACUCUUUGCAUCCACCUCAACCAUACCCUGGAGUUCCUGUGUGCAAAUGUAGCCAACAUCUGUUGCAAAAGUGAUAUUAAACAGCUUUGGGUUAGCAUAUUUACCAAUGAAAACCUGCUUUUACGUGGUGGAAGCAGUUAUCCUUCAAAAAUCAUUUUCUUCUUCUGCCAGUUAUCUUAAAACUCUGGGGUGAUAAAUGGCUUUUCUUCAGCUGUUUUAGACUUUUGUUCUCUGACCUUUUGAAGUUAUACUUCUUCAUCUUUCCCAGUGUUAUAUUCUCCUGGAGCUGGUUCUGAUAUCUGAGGCACUUGCGAAGAUUUUUCUUUCCCCUUAGCUUUACUGACAAAGUCUAGAUAGACUGUUGAAACCAAGUUUCUUUGAAGCCAAGGAUUUAGCAAGGUUCAACUAGGAAUUGGACAUUUUUUAUUGAUAGCAAGUGCAGAGAGAACUGUAACUCUAAAGCUAACAAAACUAGAGACUUGGAAAUAUUAUCAGACCUCAUUCUUCAGGGUUUAAGUGUUUCAGUAUAAAGAUUUAAGAUGAAAUUCUCCUAGCAGGCAGAUUAUCCCACAGCUGCAUUAAUUUUCUCUAAAGCAUCUGAUACUGGCUUACAUGUUAAAAAAUGUCUUGCAUGGAUGUACAUUAGGUCUGGUCCAGGGUGUCCCUGUUGACUACUGCCCAAUUCAUUAUUUUAAGCUUCUCUGUAAGAGCUUGUGGAAAAUCACAGUGGGACUUUCUUAUAAUCUGAGACAGACCUCUCUUUUUAAGGAAUUCCUUCAAGAUCUUUUAGUAGGGAUUUUAUCUUUUUUUCAUCUUUUAAGGUUAUUAAAACUCUGCUAGAACAAACACCAGGCAAUUUAUUAUGGUGUGAUCUUAGCAAAACCCCUUUCUACCUGGAGCCAUAAUAGAGCUUGCUCAUCUUUUGUAAAAGCCAGUACAAACUGGUCUGAGAUAGUUAAAACUGAGAUCCAUACACUAGAUACUGCUGAUCUGAAAUGUGUAGAAUAAGUGACAAUAUGAAAGAAAGAUCAAACAAUAUUUUUUCAAGUUAGGAAACCUCCUUUGUAUCCAGUUCUGCCUCAGAGAUGCUUACCCUUAUUUUCUCACAUUUGAGAUGAAAUUAAGAUUAACAGUGGGUAUUGCAGAGUCUCCAUCACUGUAGAUUUGGCAGAAUAGUUCAGAGAGAUGGACAGACAUUGGGAAUGGUCUAGGCAGAUGGAUUAUCUGAUUUCUGCCCACAGGACCUUCAGUCCUUGGAAAAACUGGGGCCAUUGCUUCCAUGGAAAAGCAAUGUCAAAUAGAGGUACAUUCUUUAAAGAUAUUUAUUUACACAUUUUACAAAAAGUUUAAUAAAGAAAGAGGUGUCAUAGUGAAAGCAAUAGUUGUGGGUAACUCGUAUUUUCAAUAUUUUCAUGAAUUGGAUCAGUAAUCCUCAGGGAGAUCAGCCUAAAUCCCUAUGCUGUAUCUCCCCUGUCACCAUGUGAGUGACCCCAUUGAAGUUUCAGGCCUCCUGGCUCUGUAUGGAUAUAUUUGUGGUGUAAAGGACUUGCUGCUAAGGCUUCUAGCACAUGCUAAAAUGGUUGUUUGGGGCUUUUAUCUUUGUAAUAGAUUCUCUACUUCUUUGUUAAAGCACUGAAAUUGCUAACAGUAACCCAGAGACCAUCCCACUAGAGGAAGGAUUUACCAGGCAGGGAAGGAAAGGAAGGAAGAUAGGGACAAACAUGUAUAUAAAAACAUAAUAAAAUAAGUUAUCUUUACAGGUUUUCUCUUUAUAAUCCCAUUCCACCAUGCUGUACCUACUUUCCUGCUGUAGGAGCAUUAGGUGUUUGUUUCCCAUUUGCAAAAAUCUCCCCUGUGAUUUAAUUUCACAACAAACUUCGCUCACUUUCUCUUAUACUUUUCCUGCACUAGUAAUAAAAGUUGCUGUAAGAUUUA
RNA transcript from Columba livia (rock pigeon), 14398 nucleotides. RefSeq lists it as uncharacterized. The transcript has 7 exons. Lineage: Eukaryota; Metazoa; Chordata; Aves; Columbiformes; Columbidae. The record is from RefSeq and is a predicted model, not a curated record.